AUUCAUUCUUUCCUCCGAAAUUUAACAACACAGCGCCGCUCCCUCGCCCUAGCAGACAUUUGAGACUCCCUCGCCUGCCCCGACACCUCCUUCCCUAUUAGGUGCGGUCAUACGGAACGCAGCUUCUCAAUAUUGAUAGGAGUUUCACAGUUUGCUUAGUACGUGGAAGUGGCAACCUUCAAGUAUCAAAGAAAAAUCCCUUCCAAGACAUUUGUUUGAUUGUGUUCAAGGUUGGCUGAUUCUAUGUAGUGGUUGGCUUCAUUUGAUGAGAGAAAAUUGCGGGGAUGGUUGUUUGUCUCAAUUGGCUCUAUUUUCUUUGUUGGGUAUUUCUUUGUUGUUGUUAUUUCCAAGCUUCUCCCACCUUCAAACAUUGCCCUCAUUUCUGCGUUGUAAAAUGACUGGUAAUUAAUUAAUUAAUUAGUUCUGAUAUUGAGACGUGAUUC
Cajanus cajan (pigeon pea) is the source of this 443-nucleotide long non-coding RNA. RefSeq lists it as uncharacterized. NCBI's taxonomy places the organism in Eukaryota, Viridiplantae, Streptophyta, Magnoliopsida, Fabales, Fabaceae. The record is from RefSeq and is a predicted model, not a curated record.